ACGGGUGAGUAACGCGUAUGCAAUCUACCUACAACAGGGGAAUAACCCGUUGAAAGACGGACUAAUGCCCCAUAAUACAGGGGUCCCGCAUGGGAAUAUUUGUUAAAGAUUUAUCGGUUGUAGAUGAGCAUGCGUUCCAUUAGCUGGUUGGUGAGGUAACGGCCCACCAAGGCAACGAUGGAUAGGGGAACUGAGAGGUUUAUCCCCCACACUGGUACUGAGACACGGACCAGACUCCUACGGGAGGCAGCAGUGAGGAAUAUUGGUCAAUGGUCGAGAGACUGAACCAGCCAAAUCCGCGUGAAGGACGACGGCCCUAUGGGUUGUAAACUUCUUUACAGGGGAAUAAAGUGCUCCACGUGUGGUAGUUUUGUAUGUACCCUGUGAAUAAGCAUCGGCUAACUCCGUGCCAGCCGCUGC
RNAcentral lists this ribosomal RNA (420 nucleotides) under uncultured bacterium. Its description in RNAcentral is "bacterial SSU rRNA". It matches the Rfam family "Bacterial small subunit ribosomal RNA", at positions 102 to 518 of the family's 1533-position model. The record is from RNAcentral.